UACGAGGGGGGCAAGCGUUGUUCGGAAUUAUUGGGCGUAAAGGGCGCGUAGGCGGUGCGGUAAGUCUGAUGUGAAAUCUCCGGGCUCAACUCGGAGUCUGCAUCAGAAACUGCCGUGCUCGAGUGUGGGAGAGGUGAGUGGAAUUCCCGGUGUAGCGGUGAAAUGCGUAGAUAUCAAGUGGAACACCAGUGGCGAAGGCGAGUCUCUGGACAAUUCCUGACGCUGAGGCAUGAAAGCCAGGGGAGCAAACGGG
Molecule: ribosomal RNA, 253 nt
Filed under: uncultured bacterium
Lineage: Bacteria
Description: partial 16S ribosomal RNA
Rfam family: Bacterial small subunit ribosomal RNA
Source: RNAcentral